AUGAUGAUUUUUCUUAAUGGGAGUGAUGACGAGGUUGACGUAGGUCCCAUGGGUAUUCCUCUACCAAGAUAUGGCGACAACAGGGUGAUAUGGACCUUUAGCGGAAGCUGCAUGUCCAUGCAUCAUAACCAAUCCAAGGUGGCAAGCAAGCUAAGAUCUACUGAGUUGUUUUUCUAUUGCUCUAUCGAAAAAUUGACAAGCUCACAGUUUCGUGGAUUGCUACAUCAACAAGCUGGUAGCAUAGUUGCUUGCAACCCAUGUAGGUUGGACAUUGACCAAAAAAUUAUUGCAGAUUGCUGUCUCUACGAGUUAUUCCUACACUAUAUUUUCCACACCAUCACUAAAUUUGAUUGGGUUUCUCAUGCUUCUAACUAUUGGAUAUGCGAUGGGAUCAUACAAUGGGAAAGAGCAAGGGAUAUUAGUAAUGCAUUGCAUCUAGAUAUAAAUUUGAAGUGUGACGCUUCUCUGCUAGAUCAUGUUCUUAAAAUGUUCAUGGAACAUUCAGAGUCUCCUUUUUUGGCAAUUAAAGAUGGCGAUCUCUAUGAAGAAGGCCCAUACCGUUGGAUUUCGGUCACGUCGAGAGAUGCAGAAGUACAUGGGAUGAAAGCAAUACCUGCAGAGGCGUCAUCUUUCUUCUUGGCAUUUGAAAUAUCCAAUCCCCCAAGAGCUUUACCAGGUGGAUUUUUUGAUUAUUGCAGCAAGCUUGGCGUUCUAACGCUUUAUUGUUGUGCGUUCAAUUUUGCUUCACCUUCUUUCCUGAAGUGUCAUGGUCUAAGAUUCCUUGGACUGGACCACUGUACAAAUGACAAAACAAUUGAAGGAGAACAUAAUACAGACUGGUUAUUUUUGUAUAGCUUGUGGGUCCUGGAUCUACGAUACACAAACUGGAAUGAAAUCUUAUCUGAAGAAAAGAUGGAUCUCAUGACCAAAAUCAAAGAGCUAAAUAUAGAGGGAGUCAUGGGUUGGCAGUGCAUAGCACACCUACAACGCCGGUUACCUAACCUCCAGAGGCUCCGGAUAAUCAAAACAGCAUGUGAAUGGGAGACAUCAGAUGAUGUCGAUAACUUCUUUAUAGAUAAGACAAGUAUGGAAAUACUGGACUUGUCUGGCAAUUGUGGCAUGAACAUUCUACCAAGAAGUCUAUCAAAGGCAAGUAGCCUCCGGUUGCUUGUACUUGAUGGUUGUGAUGGACUGGAAAGCAUUGGUGGGCUUCCUCCCUCCCUCGAAUCCUUUAGCUUUAAUGGAUAUGGGCCAGCUUCUCAGUGGACACAGAGUGUUGAGGUACCUCAGGAACAAUUUCGUCCAUCCAGCUCAACAAAUAAGAAUGAUGUCAUAAUAUCCAAGAUCUCCUUAGCAGGCUGCACACGAUUGGGAAAUAUUUUCUUGUGUUGGCUACCAAACCUCGUGGAAUUAGACCUCUCUGGAACAUCAAUCAAGAUACUUGACUUCAAGACUAUGGUGGUGCAAAUCCCAUGGCUCAAGCGACUGUUUCUAAUAGGAUGCAAGCACCUUCGUGCAAUAAGGUUUUUGCACGAGAGUGUUUCUGACUUGGAGUUGAUGUGCGUAGACACGCGAGCUGGAAUCGUGUGUCCUCGACCAUCCAUCAGCAAAAAUAAACCUUCCAGGUUGCAGGUGCAUGCUGUUUUUGUGGAUGCAAGGUUUACUCGCUCCUUGUGGCAUUUGAUAUGUAAUUCUAGACAAGUUGUUCAUCUUAAUAUUCGCAUCACCUCCUCACCUGCCUGCGAUGGGACUAUUCAAUUUGAAACAACCAGGAAGGAUAUUAUUGGCACCAGUGAGCAAGAGAGCCUGCAUCUUAUUUCAGCAAGCCGGUACAAUGAUGUCCUUGGGAUGGUUGGCGCUGCCCCAAUGCAGGCCUUUCCACAGCCUCCUACUACAAAAUUUGAUCAACAUGUAGAGAUUGCUGAAGGAAGCUUCUAUGUGGAGAGGGAACUUGAGAAAGAACAUGUACGCCGACUGAUGGGGACAUAUGUGGAAUCCCUGCAUGUGCAUGAUGUCUUGGUACGUGCUAUUAUGCCUCAUGAAUGUUGUUGGCACAAGCUAAGAUGGUGCUGCGUGGAGAGGUGCCCAAAAGUGGAUACCGUUUUCCCACGGAACUCAUUCUCAUUUACUGCAUUGGAGACCUUAUGCGUGUCAGAUCUCGUAAUGGCCCGCUGGAUUUUGAAUAAAGGUUCACACUUAAAUCAAUAUGGUGAACGUGAUAUCAGUUCCUUCCAAAAUUUACAGCACCUUCAGCUGCAUUCAUGCCCCAGCCUCCAGUUCGUGCUCCCGUUAUGGGUCUCCUCCUUCCCCUUCUUGGAGACCAUCCACAUCAUCCACUGCGGUGACCUCAGCCACGUCUUCAUACUGGACGAAGAGUACCCUGAAGAAAUAACUACCCAUGGUGUACCAUUCCCGAAACUGACCACCAUCCACCUGCACGACCUCCCGAAGCUGCAACAGAUAUGCGAGGUCAAGAUGGUGGCCCCUGCGCUCAAGAGCCUCAAGAUCAGGGGAUGCUGGAGCCUGCGCCGGCUGCCAUCCGUGGGGGCCCGUGGCCAUGGCAGGAAGAAGCCGACCGUCGAGAUGGAGAAGGACGUGUGGGACGCUCUGGAGUGGGACGCGGACCACCGCCCCGAGCACUUCGAGGCGCCGAUCCACUCACGCUACUACAAGGAGAAACUGCCCAGGGUCUCCGUCCUCAGGUGA
RNAcentral lists this ribosomal RNA (2706 nucleotides) under Triticum aestivum (bread wheat). RNAcentral's name for it is "partial small subunit ribosomal RNA". Lineage: Eukaryota; Viridiplantae; Streptophyta; Magnoliopsida; Poales; Poaceae. The record is from RNAcentral.